This 2221-nucleotide long non-coding RNA is filed under the name Paramuricea clavata. Lineage: Eukaryota; Metazoa; Cnidaria; Anthozoa; Malacalcyonacea; Plexauridae. The record is from RNAcentral.
AUUUAAGAAACAACCAACUGUUAGAAAGCUGAAUGGCUACGCUUUAAAAUGAAUGUAAACUUUAACGUUUUCGUCUAUUAUUUGUUUAGCAAUUUACAUUUCAGUCGAGGAUUGCGCUUUUUUUUAUACACCCUGUAUAUAUACUUUAUAUAUUUUAGAAAUUGAUAGUUCUGUUUUUAAAAGUGUUCAAAUUUCAUCUAUUUUUUCCCGGUUUGUACAAAAAAUUAAAAAACAAUUAUCGUGUUGCUAUGACUAACAUGACGUGGCAACGCGAGCCUGCGUUCAGUGUUGGCGUAACUACGAAUACUUCAUGUUGACACAAUGUUUGGAAUAUAUAGGUGAGGGGUUGUUGCAUGCAUGUAUUUCUAGUAAUAUUGAUCACUUAAUGGUAGCGCUAGUGGAAGUCAAAUCUGAACCUCUAUAUUAUUUCUCGUCAUCCCAAACUUCCAUUCGUGUUUCAACAAUUGUGCACGUACGGAAACUGACGGAAAGCUUUUAGACUUCUUCCGUAUGGAUUAUGUCCAUGAGAGACAAUCUUAUCCACAUGCGGAACGGAAUAUUUAUUUUCUAAAAAGGAACAGGAAAAUUUCAAUAAAGCGCUUCUUUGAAGUUUCGCGAUUUUUUCACAAAUAGGACGGUUAACUGCAUUGAUUUCCAAUGCCAUAUUAUCUGAACUUACCCUUUAUUGGCCAAGAAGUUUUCCAUGUUUUGACACGUAAAAUAGUGUGGCGUUAGCUUGAGUAAUAUGAUAAAAAUGUUCACAAUCUGUUACAGUGGUAUCGACGUGGCACCAGCUACCGGCCCUCCAAUGGAAAGCUUGUGUUAGAGAAAGACUGGAUGAAGCAGGAAGACGCCUACGACCAAGGUAUACAGCAUAUCCUGGAGGAUCCCGAGCACAACAUAUGCAAAAUAGUGUAUUGGUUUCAUAUUUGUGGUGGAGGCUACUCCUUGAUGUGUUGGGAGGCCCCAAAAGAUACGCCAAUGACUUUCAAAAGGCAAAGUGGGGGGCAUGUAUUAUUUUUCAGCGAAGUUUGCUUCAAGUGGAAGGACGAAGUCCCCUUGCGAGGGUAACAAGAACGAUGAGCUCAACUCAAACGAUCACGAUAAAGCAUAGAAUUGACGGGAAACAGUUUUUUAUGAAUACUUUUUAAAGUUUCUUCUGAAUUAAGUCUGGUAAGACAGACAUUCACUUCCGCGGCAAAAAUUCUCAAAUCUGCGAAGGAAAUUUUCCAUAUUUUUGGGCCAUAAAUUAACUUUCACAGCUAAAAAUUGUAUCCUUUGGUGACUUAACAUCAUACAAAAAUGCAUUCAGGGGAUGGAGCAAGGAACAUUUUAUUAUACAAAACGGCUGCCAUAUUAAUAUGAAGCGCAACAUUAAAGCAAAUUUCCACUUGUAAGAAAACAUUUCCAACGACUUUUUUAACGUUUUUGUCUUAAUUAAGGCUGCAUUCCAGUUACGCGUUUUUCAUACGUGCGUACACGCACGUAAAAGUUGAAUUCGCUUAAAAUUUCAUAUAAGUGCAAAUAACCUUAACAAAUACACAUUAAAUCAUACACAAAACUGAAUGCUGUCCUUUUAUAAAUUUAGUUAUUUCAUAAGUAGGAUGUAAAGCGAAUUCAACUUUUACGUGCUUGUACGCACGUAUGAAAAAACGCGUAACUGGAAUGCAGCCUUUACUGAAAUAAUUUUGAGAUCCUGUUCGUGUGGCCAUUUAUUUGCUCUUCAGCAUAUACUUCUUAGGCAGAACGGUAAUCAUUUUCAGAAUUUCAGAAUACAAAUAUAUCGGCGGAUAUCAGAUAGAUAUAGAUGAAUGUUUUAAUGAUCACUAUACAUUGCAGCCAGCUGUGGGCUGAAUUGCGAAGAAUUUACAAAACGAUUAAGAUAAAAUUAUAUACAAUUUACAAUAUGUAAAAUAUUAUAGAAACAACUUGUUCAAAGCUACUCUUUAAAAGACUAAGCAAAUUUUUACACUAAAUAAAGGAAUGAAAGUGUUGUGAAAUCUCAUGUUAGUCUUAAUAAAUGCAUGGAAGUUCAUAUGUUCGUUGACAUCUUGAAUGGUAUAAUUUGUAUAUAACGUACAGGCUGUGAAGCUUACGAUAUUUGUUUUUACGACUGAAACAGAACGUUUGUCAUAACGAUUUUGGUAUCGAGCAGACAAGUUGCCUAGACGCGAAGCCAGUAAGCUGUCUUGAUCAUCGAACAUUUGGCAAUACGAUGGAC